GACGAACGCUGGCGGCGUGCUUAACACAUGCAAGUCGAACGGUGAAGGGACCGGUUUUUGCUGGUUCUGGAUGAGUGGCGAACGGGUGAGUAACACGUGAGUAACCUGCCCCCUUCUUCUGGAUAACCGCAUGAAAGUGUGGCUAAUACGGGAUAUUCUGCGCCUGCUGCAUGGUGGGUGUGGGAAAGAUAUUGUUUCGGUGGGGGAUGGGCUCGCGGCCUAUCAGCUUGUUGGUGGGGUGAUGGCCUACCAAGGCGGUGACGGGUAGCCGGCCUGAGAGGGUGGACGGUCACACUGGGACUGAGCCACGGCCCAGACUCCUACGGGAGGCAGCAGUGGGGAAUAUUGCACAAUGGGCGCAAGCCUGAUGCAGCGACGCCGCGUGAGGGAUGGAGGCCUUCGGGUUGUAAACCUCUUUCGCCAGUGAAGCAGGCCUGUCCCUUUUGUGGGUGGGUUGACGGUAGCUGGAGAAGAAGCGCCGGCUAACUACGUG
This 493-nucleotide ribosomal RNA is filed under the name uncultured bacterium. Its description in RNAcentral is "partial 16S ribosomal RNA". It matches the Rfam family "Bacterial small subunit ribosomal RNA", at positions 28 to 507 of the family's 1533-position model. The record is from RNAcentral.